ACAUUGAAACACCGGUUCCCAUACGAUCACCGAAGUUAAGCAAUGUCGAGCCUUGUCAGUACAUCGAUGUGUGACCGCUUGUGAAUGCCAGGUGCUGUAAG
Acanthosepion pharaonis is the source of this 101-nucleotide non-coding RNA. The record is from the annotation of a GenBank genome assembly. Lineage: Eukaryota; Metazoa; Mollusca; Cephalopoda; Sepiida; Sepiidae.